This is a long non-coding RNA of Mauremys reevesii (Reeves's turtle), 624 nucleotides long. RefSeq lists it as uncharacterized. The record is from RefSeq and is a predicted model, not a curated record. The transcript is spliced from 3 exons. NCBI's taxonomy places the organism in Eukaryota, Metazoa, Chordata, Testudines, Geoemydidae.
AGCUAAAGGAGUGUAGAGGGGCUCUUGGCUGGCUAAAGGCAAUGGCUGGUUGGCAGUGAGGAAGAGCUCCUGGCUAGCUACUGGGUCUGAAUGUAGAAGAGCCCUGAGGCGCCACAGAGCUCCUCAGGUCACAAGAAGCUCCAAAGCUUGUCUCUUCCACCAUCAGAACUUGGUCCAGUAAAAGAGAUUACCUCACGCAUCUUGUCUGUGUCUCCUCUUGGGACCAACCCAGCUACAACAACUCUCCUGAACUGGAUAUCCCAGAUCUUCUAGCAACUUCCUGAAGAUUUCACACUCUCAACGUUCAAAUCAUCUGCAUUUCUCUCAUCUGAAAGUAUGAGGAUCUAUUCAUUUCCACUUGAAUGUUAAAGAAAGGUGCUUUUUUUCCUCUUACCAACUGACAUGGCUGGUUCAGCUAGUGGGAUUUGCAUUAAUCCCUUCUAGAACACAACAGCCCUCUGGUCUCCUUCCAUCUGGAGAUGCAAUUUGGCCUAUUUAUUUGGUCUGCAAGUGUUGCUUUAGCACCAGAUUCAUUUAGAACCAGGGAAACUUAAAUGCUUACCUCCAUGUCUGUGAUGUUCUGCUGACUUGAUUCAGAUUUGCGACUAGCUGAACUACUUGAAG